This 253-nucleotide ribosomal RNA is filed under the name uncultured bacterium. RNAcentral describes it as "partial 16S ribosomal RNA". It matches the Rfam family "Bacterial small subunit ribosomal RNA", at positions 524 to 776 of the family's 1533-position model. The record is from RNAcentral.
UACGGAGGGUGCAAACGUUGCUCGGAAUUAUUGGGCGUAAAGCGCACGUAGGCGGUCUAGCAAGUCGGAUGUGAAAGCCCUCAGCUUAACUGAGGAAGUGCAUUCGAAACUACUAGGCUUGAGUACUGAAGAGGACGACGGAAUUCCCGGUGUAGAGGUGAAAUGCGUAGAUAUCUGGAGGAACACCGGUGGCGAAGGCGGCAUCCUGGACCGGUAUUGACGCUGAGGCGCGAAAGCCAGGGGAGCAAACGGG